RNAcentral lists this long non-coding RNA (333 nucleotides) under Ananas comosus (pineapple). RNAcentral's name for it is "long non-coding RNA (ACOM_LNC042197)". The record is from RNAcentral. Lineage: Eukaryota; Viridiplantae; Streptophyta; Magnoliopsida; Poales; Bromeliaceae.
CGACUACUCAAUAAGUGAGUUGAGGUGUGGAUUGGAUUAUGAGUGAGUUGAGUUUCGAGGACGAAAUUCUUUUUAAAGAGGGGAGGAUGUAAGGUACUGGACUUCUAAAAUAAUGAAGUUACGGUUUAUGUUGGUUUGGAGAGCCAUUGGAAUGGUUCCGGUGAAAUUCGAAAGCAUUCGGGCGUUUCCGGAGCCCGUAGGCGCGAAAACGGGACCCGAAAGGCUAUGUUGGACCGUGAACUAAAUCCGGCAUUAGCGCAGAUGAAAAGAUGAUGAAAACACGCUCGAAAAUAUGUUUGGAGAGUCUCGGUUCGAUUUGAAAAGAAUUGGAGG